AUUGCGGCCUCAAGUAGGUCACACGCAGUUGAGCGACAGCACUGUAACAAGAAGUGUGCAUUCGAUACUGCUUAUAAAACAAAACUCUACACAAUGGCAGAAAGAGACAGAGCCACAAAUCAGCUGAAGGAAUUCAAGGAAAAUCAAGCUGGCCAGAAAAGUGCUAUUACAACAGGUGCAGGAUCUCCAGUUGGCUCCAAAAAUGCUGUAAUGACAGUGGGGCCACGAGGGCCUCUUCUUGCACAAGACUUUGUGUUUUUUGAUGAAAUGAUGCAUUUUACCAGAGAGCGAAUCCCAGAACGAGUGGUGCAUGCCAAAGGGUCAGGAGCCUUUGGCUAUUUUGAGGUCACCCAUGACAUCACCAAGUACACUAAGGCCAAGCUUUUUAAUCAAAUCGGCAAAAGAACACCUCUUGGUGUGCGUUUCUCCACAGUGGGUGGUGAGAAGGGCUCAGCAGACACAGCUCGUGAUCCCCGAGGCUUUGCUGUCAAGUUCUACACAGAAGAUGGCAACUGGGAUCUGACGGGCAAUAACACACCCAUUUUCUUUAUUCGAGAUCCAAUACUGUUUCCCAGUUUCAUUCACACUCAGAAGAGGAACCCAGCCACAAACUUGAAAGACCCAGAUAUGGUGUGGGACUUCAUCACACUGAGACCAGAGACAACCCAUCAGGUGUGCUUCUUGUAUUCAGAUAGAGGAACACCUGAUGGCUAUCGCCACAUGAAUGGAUAUGGAAGUCACACCUUCAAACUUGUCAACAAAGACAAUCAGGCUGUCUACUGCAAGUUUCACUUCAAGACUGACCAGGGCAUCAAGAAUCUGAUGGCCAACAGGGCGAUGGAUCUUUGUGCAUCAGACCCAGACUACUCACAACGGGACCUCUAUAAUGCCAUUUCAGAAGGAAACUUCCCAUCAUGGAGCCUAUACAUCCAGGUCAUGACCUUCGAGGAGGCAGAAAAAUUCCGCUUCAAUCCUUUUGACCUAACAAAGAUUUGGCCACAUGGUGAAUAUCCACUGAUCCCUGUUGGGCGCAUGGUUCUGAACCGCAAUCCCAAGAACUACUUUGCUGAAGUUGAACAGAUUGCCUUCUCGCCUUCACACAUGGUGCCUGGUAUUGAGCCCAGUCCAGACAAGAUGUUGCAGGGCCGUCUCUUCGCAUAUUCAGACACUCACCAUCAUCGCCUUGGCAACAAUUACCUGCAGAUUCCUGUUAACUGUCCCUUCAAUUCCAAAGUGCAGAACUAUCAGCGAGAUGGUGCUCAGUGUGUCAAUGAUAACCAAGGUGGUGCUCCUAACUACUACCCCAACAGUUUCUCUGGUCCUGUUGAUGACAAGAAAUAUUUGGAAUGCCCACAGCAUUUUGCUGGGGAUGUGACCCGCUACAACACUGAAGAUGAUGACAACUUUACACAACCUGGAGUCUUCUGGAAUAAGGUGCUGUCAUCUGAAGAGCGUGCACGGUUGGUGGAGAAUAUUGUUGACCAUCUCAGGCUUACUUUGGACUUCAUCCAAGAACGUGCUGUCAAGAAUUUCACUGCUGUAGAUCCUGAGUUUGGGAACCGUGUGAGACAGGGAUUAAAUGCUUUCAAGUCUCCAAAGACCAAUGGAAUUGGAGUUUAUAUCACUAAGCUUCAAGCUGGAAUGACUAGACUUUGAAUGCCAAAAAAGAACUACUUCUUCCUCAGUCCAGGCCAGCCUUUGAACACCCAACCAGCAUCUGGAUGCAAGAUGGCUCUUGGCAGAUAUAAAGUCUACCCGCUGAUCCUUUUUAUCAAAACUAUAUGGCUGUAAAAGAUGCAAAAUGUACUGUAGCCAGACUGAAGACAUUCCUCGCUAAGGUUAACACCACGGCCUUUAGCACCAAAUCAGUCUGUUCCCAGACUGAUCCACUUCACAUGGCUACACUGUUGCUGGACCUUUGGUAGUAAUGGCUCCUAAAGCCCUAGUUCCAAACCAUGGACAUGGAUGUGUAUUUAUGAACUGAUGUCUGUAUGCCGAGACUCACUCUUGGCCUCUUGCGAAGUGAUCCGCUGUUAGUCUCGGCGAGCCAUAACAAAAAAUGUGAAUAAACCAGAAGCUAUGUCGUUUAA
This 2090-nucleotide unclassified non-coding RNA is filed under the name Pomacea canaliculata. RNAcentral's name for it is "catalase-like, transcript variant X2". The record is from RNAcentral. Lineage: Eukaryota; Metazoa; Mollusca; Gastropoda; Architaenioglossa; Ampullariidae.